CAUGAGCAGGGUCAUAGUGAGAGACCACUAACUGGAGAUCCGAAGCAUCCGUCGUUGGAAAGGGAGGAGAUGUCUAGCGGAUAGGGGUGAAAGGCUAAU
Molecule: ribosomal RNA, 99 nt
Filed under: Acinetobacter baumannii
Lineage: Bacteria; Pseudomonadati; Pseudomonadota; Gammaproteobacteria; Moraxellales; Moraxellaceae
Description: partial 23S ribosomal RNA
Source: RNAcentral